UACGUAGGGUGCAAGCGUUGUCCGGAAUUAUUGGGCGUAAAGAGCUCGUAGGCGGCCUGUCGCGUCGGCUGUGAAAACUCGGGGCUCAACUCCGAGCUUGCAGUCGAUACGGGCAGGCUAGAGUUCGGCAGGGGAGACUGGAAUUCCUGGUGUAGCGGUGAAAUGCGCAGAUAUCGGGAAGAACACCCGUGGCGAAGGCGGCACUCUGGGACGGUACUGACGCUGAGACGCGAAAGCGUGGGGAGCGAACAGG
RNAcentral lists this ribosomal RNA (253 nucleotides) under uncultured bacterium. RNAcentral describes it as "partial 16S ribosomal RNA". It matches the Rfam family "Bacterial small subunit ribosomal RNA", at positions 524 to 776 of the family's 1533-position model. The record is from RNAcentral.